AUGUUGGCUUUGGCAGUACAUAUACUAAAACUGGAAUGAUACAGAGAUGAUUAGCAUGGCCCCUAUGCAAGGAUGACACCCAACUCAUGAGCAUUUCAUAUUUUAU
This 106-nucleotide small nuclear RNA is filed under the name Microcebus murinus (gray mouse lemur). Lineage: Eukaryota; Metazoa; Chordata; Mammalia; Primates; Cheirogaleidae. The record is from RNAcentral.